UUAGGAAAUUUUGCCAAUGGGGGAAACCCUGAGCGAGUAACGCCGCGUGGAGGACGAAGGCCUUCGGGUUGUAAACUUCUUUUCUGAGGGAAGAUGAUGACGGUACCUUAGGAAUAAGCCCCGGCUAACUACGUGCCAGCAGCCGCGGUAAUACGUAGGGGGCGAGCGUUGUCCGGAAUUACUGGGCGUAAAGAGCGCGUAGGCGGCACGAUAAGUUCUGUGUGAAAGCCCCCGGCCCAACUGGGGAAAGCCGCGGAAAACUGUCGAGCUGGAGUGUCGGAGAGGGAAGUGGAAGUCCCGGAGUAGGGGUGAAAUCCGUAGAGACCGGGCCGAACACCAGUGGCGAAGGCGGCUUCCUGGCCGACGACUGACGCUGAGGCGCGAAAGCGUGGGGAGCGAACGGGAUUAGAUACCCCCGUAGUCC
RNAcentral lists this ribosomal RNA (424 nucleotides) under uncultured bacterium. Its description in RNAcentral is "bacterial SSU rRNA". It matches the Rfam family "Bacterial small subunit ribosomal RNA", at positions 355 to 796 of the family's 1533-position model. The record is from RNAcentral.